Unclassified non-coding RNA from Anser brachyrhynchus (Pink-footed goose), 193 nucleotides. NCBI's taxonomy places the organism in Eukaryota, Metazoa, Chordata, Aves, Anseriformes, Anatidae. The record is from Ensembl.
CUGACAGAACAAAAGACUAAGGUCUUCUCUCAAGAUGCCGCUACAGAUAUAUCCAGACUGUAAAACAGUCACAGUGGCUGUGAAAGUUUCCUUGCACAGUCAUGCCAGGGGACCUCAGGCUUGAAAUGGAAGGACCACCUCUGAGGGUGAGAGAGGAAUUAAUUCUCCAUGGCCCAUUCAGGAUUUGGCCUCU